RNAcentral lists this ribosomal RNA (254 nucleotides) under uncultured bacterium. RNAcentral describes it as "partial 16S ribosomal RNA". It matches the Rfam family "Bacterial small subunit ribosomal RNA", at positions 524 to 776 of the family's 1533-position model. The record is from RNAcentral.
UACGUAGGGUGCAAGCGUUGUCCGGAAUUAUUGGGCGUAAAGAGCUUGUAGGCGGUUUGUCGCGUCUGCUGUGAAAUUUCGGGGCUCAACCCCGAACUUGCAGUGGGUACGGGCAGACUAGAGUGCGGUAGGGGAGACUGGAAUUCCUGGUGUAGCGGUGAAAUGCGCAGAUAUCAGGAGGAGCACCGGUGGCGAAGGCGGGUCUCGUGGGCCGUAACUGACGCUGAGGAGCGAAAGCAUGGGGAGCGAACAGG